This is a long non-coding RNA of Lontra canadensis (Northern American river otter), 227 nucleotides long. RefSeq lists it as uncharacterized. Lineage: Eukaryota; Metazoa; Chordata; Mammalia; Carnivora; Mustelidae. The record is from RefSeq and is a predicted model, not a curated record. The transcript is spliced from 4 exons.
CUCCAGGCCAGCAAGGCUGGCCUUAACUGUAAGGCCUUCCUCUCUACCUUCAGAUACCAGAGAAAUGAAUGUGUUCUCUUCACAGGGAUUGGGCAAGGGAAGACAAAAACAUACUGUCUGGCAACAGAAGACUGAUCAUACAAUGAAAGGCAGUAUACUGUAAUGGCUAAGAACAAAGUUUCUGGACUCAGAACUAGCAUCAGAUCAGAUCUGCCACUUCUUGGACA